Molecule: ribosomal RNA, 576 nt
Filed under: uncultured eukaryote
Lineage: Eukaryota
Description: bacterial SSU rRNA
Rfam family: Eukaryotic small subunit ribosomal RNA
Source: RNAcentral
UAUUAGUACAAAAUCAACCAGCCUUCGGGCUGUCGAUUUGAUGACUCUGGAUAACUCUUCCUGAUCGCAUGGCCUUGUGCCAGCGACGUAUCUUUCAAGUGUCUGCCCUAUCAACUGUCGAUGGUGGGUUAUAUGCCUACCAUGGUUAUAACGGGUAACGGGGAAUCAGGGUUCGAUUCCGGAGAGGGAGCCUUAGAAGUGGCUGCUACAUCUAAGGAUGGCAGCAGGCGCGCAACUUACCCACUGCUAGUGGCAGCGAGGUGGUGACGAUAAAUAACAAUACAGAACUCUUUUGAGGCUCUGUCAUUGGAAUGAGAACAAUUUAAAUCCUUUAACGAGGAUCAAUUGGAGGGCAAGUCUGGUGCCAGCAGCCGCGGUAAUUCCAGCUCCAAUAGCGUAUAUUAAAAUUGUUGCAGUUAAAAAGCUCGUAGUUGGAUCUCAGGUUGGUGUUGGUAAGAGCAUCUUUUAGAUGUUUCGAACUAGCCCGCCUUAUUAGUCGUAGUGGCUACUAGUGCACUUUAUUGUGUUGCUAGUAGUGCACGACAUGUUUACUUUGAAAAAAUUAGAGUGCUCAAA